AUUUCACCUAGGGUUCCGCCAAGAAUGUCAGGACGGUCGUCGAGACACAGGGUUACGAAGUCCUCUCCAUACGCCACCUGGGCAGCUCCUCCGCCCUAGCAAUCACCUUCAAGGGAAAACAGGCUGACAUGAACAAGAAACUUCGAAUAAGAAACUGUAUGGUUGUUGGCUGCACCAAGACCACCAAGCCUCUACACCAGGUGCCCCAAAACUACGAGCUGCGGCGUGCGUGGCUGGAGCGAAUUGGUAUCCCGCCAUCAGACACGCGAACCUACAUAUAUGUGUGUGGACGGCACUUUGCCAUCAGUGCUCACAUGCUAAACCCAGAUCUGGUGGACAAAUCGGACUUCGCUUGUAGGUGGCGGCUGCGGCCAGAUGCGGUGCCAACGCUGUUUCUUCCCACCGAUUCAGCUCCAUUGCAGCAGUACAGCUGUCGUUGUGCGAGGGGCACAGUGUUUACACAGACCACCCCUUCUCAGCGCACUGUUGGUGAACAGACCUCAACAAUGGUUAUGCAUAGGGAUGCUGGCACGCAGAUGGGUCGUCACGUCACGACGGCAACACAGACCGCAGCAUCUUUUUCCCAGCCAUGACCAACGCAGAACAACGAGCAGAACACUGCUUUUCUAAUGUAUUUUGCAGGUGGUCCUCCGGUGACCUACAUGUAGGACAAGCAUCAGCCCAGCCAAGUUUAUUUCAAGGUGCAAUGUGCUGGUAAGAGGCAGGCAUGCACUGCCUAGAGCAGCCUAGAGUCAUCGGCUGUCCCUACGUAGGGGUUGGGACGUUGGGUUUCCGAAGCCAACGGAAUCGGAAGUCUUACUUCAACCAAAAGAAGUACCCCUCUACGUUAUGUCAAAGCAUCCUUUUAAACAUGUUCAUACUUUUGUGAUUCAAUGCAUAAAACAGCAUUUUAUUAAAACAAGUAACUGGAACACCAAUGCAUUUCAUCGGACACUUUGAAAAUGAAUAUCUCGAAGCUUGUGCAGUCAUCAGAAUUAAUUCCAAGUGGAUACACCUUGUGAACUUACCAGCUAUAAUUCAUAGAUUUGAAUAUGUGCCAUAAUGCAAUUAAUUAAAAAGUUUAUUAGUGUAAUUAUGUUAGUUAUAUAAUUAAGCAUUUUGAUUUCUCAUAAAACUAAUGGCCACCUCAUCGAGUAAUUUAGAUCAAGGGUUAGAGUUGUGCUAUCUGCCUCAGGCAAUUUUUUUAAAUUUUGGACCUCCUGAAAAAAAAAAAAGUCACAGUUCGAAAGGCGAAGCAUUGAUUGCAAUAGUAAAUUAUUAGACAGCUAUAUGGAGUAAGGAUAGUAGUUUUAUCGGCAGUAUAAACUUGUGAACAUUCGCUUACUAAUUCAACAAGCAUGGUCUCAUGCGCACUCAAGCAAACAUGAACACAUCUCACUUGAUGACCGCGGAAGCUUGGUGUCAAAAUGCUGAAGUGAGGAAGCGCGGCAGUAACAUCGAGCGAAUUGACCUUCGUGCUGCCUCUCGCUUCAGUGCAAACUCUGUCCCCAUCGCCGAUCGCUUUCAAGAUUUGACUCACGCGAUCACCCUAUGUGCAGCAGCCGCCGGUGCAGAACAAGCCGCCCCCCCCCCUCCCUCCCCUCACCCCAGUACCUUGCGCACACGAGAUUGAGCUGCCACCGUCGGCUUACCCUUGCAUGCUUUCAUUCGCACAUACAGCAUACGGCGUGCAGUGACGAUGUUAUCGCCCUUCGACUUUAUACGUAACAUCACGGCGACACCAAUGGCGACACAAACUGCGCCAAUGACAGCAGAAAUGCAUCUGGAGUGUCCAUAUAAUUGCCAUCGUAAUAAAAACAACACACAGUAUAAAUAUUAAGAUACAUGUCAUUCUCUUGGUGAUUCAGCAAUAUAAGCAAUAUUUCGACUUAUCCAUUUUCAAUGUAACCAAGUGACUGCAGCUGUUUCAAUUUGAAAAAGAAAAUACUAUCUUUUGUGCAUGCAUGUUUCAUAGGUGGAUACAAUCUGGGUGGCUCAGCUUACCCCUUGCUGCAUCGACUCCUGACACUAUACAAGGCUACAAUGAAAGGGCACGAUGCAAAGAAAUCUACAGUUGUCUUCACAGCCUGCAGAGGGGGAUACUUGAGUGCACCUUUGGACUGCUGAAAAACCUGUUCUGACGCCUCUUCAAUGCAGCAUCCAUAAUGAAGACAAUAAUCAUCGGAGCAUGGGUUCUUCGGAACUUGUGCAUUUGCUUCAAUGAUUAGGACAGUGAUGGAUGAACUGCCGACAUAGUCCAUAGCUACUCUGUCGUGUGCUGAUGACAGUGGCAUUGAGCCCAGGCCAAGCAGAUUGAGAGAUUGUAUUGUGAGAAUGCAGUAAACAGUUGGGUUCUG
This is a long non-coding RNA of Dermacentor silvarum, 2357 nucleotides long. RefSeq lists it as uncharacterized. NCBI's taxonomy places the organism in Eukaryota, Metazoa, Arthropoda, Arachnida, Ixodida, Ixodidae. The transcript has 5 exons. The record is from RefSeq and is a predicted model, not a curated record.